GAUGAAGAACGUAGCGAAAUGCGAUAAGUAAUGUGAAUUGCAGAAUUCAGUGAAUCAUCGAAUCUUUGAACGCACAUUGCGCCCGCUGGUAUUCCGGCGGGCAUGCCUGUUCGAGCGUCAUUUCAACCCUCAAGCCCCGGGUUUGGUGUUGGGGAUCGGCUCUGCCCUUCUGGGCGGUGCCGCCCCCGAAAUACAUUGGCGGUCUCGCUGCAGCCUCCAUUGCGUAGUAGCUAACACCUCGCAACUGGAACGCGGCGCGGCCAUGCCGUAAAACCCCAACUUCUGAAUGUUGACCUCGGAUCAGGUAGGAAUACCCGCUGAACUUAAGCAUAUCAAUAAGCGGAGGA
This 347-nucleotide unclassified non-coding RNA is filed under the name soil metagenome. RNAcentral's name for it is "partial contains 5.8S ribosomal RNA, internal transcribed spacer 2, and large subunit ribosomal RNA". The stretch from base 1 to 120 matches the Rfam family "5.8S ribosomal RNA", at positions 35 to 154 of the family's 154-position model. The record is from RNAcentral.